AACGAACACUAGUGGUAUGCUUAACACAUGCAAGUCGAACGAUGAUUUUUGUAUUCGUACAAAAUGAAGAGUGGCAAACGGGUGAGUAACACGUAAGAAUCUACCUAUCAGUGGGGGAUAACUAUGGGAAACCAUAGAUAAUACCGCAUACGCUCCGUAAGGAGGAAAGAUUUAUCGCUGAUAGAUGAGCUUGCGCCAGAUUAGGUAGUUGGUAGGGUAAAGGCCUACCAAGCCGAAGAUCUGUAGCUGGUCUGAGAGGAUGAUCAGCCACACUGGGACUGAGAUACGGCCCAG
RNAcentral lists this ribosomal RNA (294 nucleotides) under uncultured bacterium. RNAcentral describes it as "partial 16S ribosomal RNA". It matches the Rfam family "Bacterial small subunit ribosomal RNA", at positions 29 to 334 of the family's 1533-position model. The record is from RNAcentral.